GAUGAACGCUAGCUACAGGCUUAACACAUGCAAGUCGAGGGGCAGCAUGGUCUUAGCUUGCUAAGGCCGAUGGCGACCGGCGCACGGGUGAGUAACACGUAUCCAACCUGCCGUCUACUCUUGGACAGCCUUCUGAAAGGAAGAUUAAUACAAGAUGGCAUCAUGAGUCCACAUGUUCACAUGAUUAAAGGUAUUCCGGUAGACGAUGGGGAUGCGUUCCAUUAGAUAGUAGGCGGGGUAACGGCCCACCUAGUCUUCGAUGGAUAGGGGUUCUGAGGGGAAGGUCCCCCACAUUGGAACUGAGACACGGUCCAAACUCCUACGGGAGGCAGCAGUGAGGAAUAUUGGUCAAUGGGCGAGAGCCUGAACCAGCCAAGUAGCGUGAAGGAUGACUGCCCUAUGGGUUGUAAACUUCUUUUAUAAAGGAAUAAAGUCGGGUAUGCAUACCCGUUUGCAUGUACUUUAUGAAUAAGGAUCGGCUAACUCCGUGCCAGCAGCCGCGGUAAUACGGAGGAUCCGAGCGUUAUCCGGAUUUAUUGGGUUUAAAGGGAGCGUAGAUGGAUGUUUAAGUCAGUUGUGAAAGUUUGCGGCUCAACCGUAAAAUUGCAGUUGAUACUGGAUAUCUUGAGUGCAGUUGAGGCAGGCGGAAUUCGUGGUGUAGCGGUGAAAUGCUUAGAUAUCACGAAGAACUCCGAUUGCGAAGGCAGCCUGCUAAGCUGCAACUGACAUUGAGGCUCGAAAGUGUGGGUAUCAAACAGGAUUAGAUACCCUGGUAGUCCACACGGUAAACGAUGAAUACUCGCUGUUUGCGAUAUACAGCAAGCGGCCAAGCGAAAGCGUUAAGUAUUCCACCUGGGGAGUACGCCGGCAACGGUGAAACUCAAAGGAAUUGACGGGGGCCCGCACAAGCGGAGGAACAUGUGGUUUAAUUCGAUGAUACGCGAGGAACCUUACCCGGGCUUAAAUUGCAGAUGAAUUACGGUGAAAGCCGUAAGCCGCAAGGCAUCUGUGAAGGUGCUGCAUGGUUGUCGUCAGCUCGUGCCGUGAGGUGUCGGCUUAAGUGCCAUAACGAGCGCAACCCUUGUUGUCAGUUACUAACAGGUCAUGCUGAGGACUCUGACAAGACUGCCAUCGUAAGAUGUGAGGAAGGUGGGGAUGACGUCAAAUCAGCACGGCCCUUACGUCCGGGGCUACACACGUGUUACAAUGGGGGGUACAGAGGGCCGCUACCACGCGAGUGGAUGCCAAUCCCAAAAACCUCUCUCAGUUCGGACUGGAGUCUGCAACCCGACUCCACGAAGCUGGAUUCGCUAGUAAUCGCGCAUCAGCCACGGCGCGGUGAAUACGUUCCCGGGCCUUGUACACACCGCCCGUCAAGCCAUGGGAGCCGGGGGUACCUGAAGUGCGUAACCGCGAGGAGCGCCCUAGGGUA
RNAcentral lists this ribosomal RNA (1432 nucleotides) under uncultured organism. RNAcentral's name for it is "16S ribosomal RNA". It matches the Rfam family "Bacterial small subunit ribosomal RNA". The record is from RNAcentral.